Molecule: long non-coding RNA, 1437 nt
Filed under: Oryctolagus cuniculus (rabbit)
Lineage: Eukaryota; Metazoa; Chordata; Mammalia; Lagomorpha; Leporidae
Description: lncRNA (ENSOCUG00000029904.1)
Source: RNAcentral
AUGAACAACGGGGUUUUAACCUCCGUUCCCAAGAAGCAGCAAAGGAAAGAGGACACAAAGCCCACGCAGGAUUCAGGAAGUGACCGCAGGAGGGGGGACGCCUGCGGAAGCACACGAGAAAGCAGAGGCCGAGGCUGGGGAAUGUGUGCGUGGACACGCACCGGACAGCUCCCAGGGAAGACACAGGCAUGGCCGGGCACUGUUGGAAACACAGGGGACAUGGGGAGCGGAGAGCAUGACAGGAGCUCCUGUCUGCAGAGGUCGGACGUCCCCGCCGCGAGGCCCUGGUGCUGCCGUGUGGUGAGCGGUGCGUCCGCUCCCUCUGCAGCCUGGAAACCCGAGGGCAGCGCCCCUCAACCUCCCUGUGCGGGGCCGGCACUGUGGCUUAGCGGGUGAAGCUGCUGCUUGCAGUGCCAGCGUCCACACGGCUCCAGUCCCAGCUGCUCCACUUCCGAUCCAGCUCUCUGCGGUAGCCUGGGAAAGCAGUGGAAGACGGCCCAAGUCCUUGGGCCCCUGCACCCGUAUGGCGUGGGUGAGCCUAUUCUCGGCACUUGGGAAUCUUCUAGAUGAGAGGGCUCGUCCAUGAGAGGACAGAUGGAGCUGGGAGCGCUAGCCAGACCUGCCCUGGAGGGGCGGUGUCCUGGAAACCGUGGGAGAAGGAUUUGGAAAUGAAAGCCAGCAGCUGUACAAUGGGGACUUCCCAGGGGUCCCCAGGCCGGAGGCAGCAGUAGCGGCCCCUAGGGGCUGCUCCCCUGACUCCCAAGAAGACACCCGGCCCUCGCUCAGGCCACGUUUCUCCUAGGCUUCGUUCUAAACUAUGGAUUUUCUAGUCUGUGGUGGAAAAGAAACGGCAAAUCAGAAGGUGGGGGUGGGGGUGGGGCUGUGAGACACCGAGGCAGAGGAUGGAGAAACCCGAACAGGAAGCGCAGACUUGGGUCCUUCGAAUGCCGGGUAAGAGAACAGCCGAUUCCCCUCCCCAGGCAGGUGCAGCUGUUUAACCUUCCUGGUUGAUGGAUGGAGUGGAGGGAGGGGCCAGGAGUUGGGGCUGCUGGGAGGCCUCUAGGGCCCUGGGGGCAGCCCUCAGGUGGAGGGUGUUCUCCAUGGAGCCUUGGUGAUUAUUUGAGCUCAACUUCAGCCUGGCCUCUCUCCUUCCUGGCUCACCAGGCGAUGGCACCUCUGCACCUGCUACUGCGAGCUGAAAUGCCCCCCCCCCCCCCCCGGGAAGCUCCGCUCAGAUAUUUCAGUUGAAGACAUGAGAAGCAGGCUACGGCCCCCACCAGUGGCCUGUGGUCACCACUUCACACUCUAACAGUGCGUACCUGUACUGCGGCCUGCAGUGAUCGGCACAGUUAGGGCACGCUUUACGUCCUCGGUUCAAAAUCAUGGGAUGAGCAGGGCUCAGAAGGGUUUUUGAAAUAAAAAAUACACUUUGUAUCA